UGGGGAAUAUUGGACAAUGGGCGAAAGCCUGAUCCAGCCAUGCCGCGUGUGUGAAGAAGGUCUUCGGAUUGUAAAGCACUUUAAGUUGGGAGGAAGGGCAGUUACCUAAUACGUGAUUGUUUUGACGUUACCGACAGAAUAAGCACCGGCUAACUCUGUGCCAGCAGCCGCGGUAAUACAGAGGGUGCAAGCGUUAAUCGGAAUUACUGGGCGUAAAGCGCGCGUAGGUGGUUAGUUAAGUUGGAUGUGAAAUCCCCGGGCUCAACCUGGGAACUGCAUUCAAAACUGACUGACUAGAGUAUGGUAGAGGGUGGUGGAAUUUCCUGUGUAGCGGUGAAAUGCGUAGAUAUAGGAAGGAACACCAGUGGCGAAGGCGACCACCUGGACUGAUACUGACACUGAGGUGCGAAAGCGUGGGGAGCAAACAGGAUUAGAUACCCCCGUAGUCCCUGAGCGGGC
This 459-nucleotide ribosomal RNA is filed under the name uncultured bacterium. RNAcentral's name for it is "bacterial SSU rRNA". It matches the Rfam family "Bacterial small subunit ribosomal RNA", at positions 355 to 804 of the family's 1533-position model. The record is from RNAcentral.